CCCUUAGAUGUUCUGGGCCGCACGCGCGCUACACUGAUGCAUUCAACGAGUUUCUUCCUGGUCCGAGAGGAAUGGGUAACCUUUUGAAAGUGCAUCGUGAUAGGGAUAGACUAUUGCAAUUACUGGUCUUCAACGAGGAAUUCCUAGUAGACGUAGUUCAUCAGACUGCAUCGAUUACGUCCCUGCCCUUUGUACACACCGCCCGUCGCUCCUACCGAUUGAAUGCUCAGGUGAGCCAUUCGGACUUUCAUCAUGCUGGUUUCCAGUUUUGAUGAAGGAAAGUCUUGCGAACCUUAUCAUUUAGAGGAAGGAGAAGUCGUAACA
RNAcentral lists this ribosomal RNA (324 nucleotides) under uncultured eukaryote. RNAcentral describes it as "partial 18S ribosomal RNA". It matches the Rfam family "Eukaryotic small subunit ribosomal RNA", at positions 1470 to 1796 of the family's 1831-position model. The record is from RNAcentral.